GGAUUAGAUACCCUGGUAGUCCACGCCUUAAACGAUGCGAACUGGAUGUUGGUCUCAACUCGGAGAUCAGUGUCGAAGCUAACGCGUUAAGUUCGCCGCCUGGGGAGUACGGUCGCAAGACUGAAACUCAAAGGAAUUGACGGGGGCCCGCACAAGCGGUGGAGUAUGUGGUUUAAUUCGAUGCAACGCGAAGAACCUUACCUGGCCUUGACAUGUCCGGAAUCCAGCAGAGAUGCAGGAGUGCCUUCGGGAAUCGGAACACAGGUGCUGCAUGGCUGUCGUCAGCUCGUGCCG
This 294-nucleotide ribosomal RNA is filed under the name uncultured bacterium. RNAcentral describes it as "partial 16S ribosomal RNA". It matches the Rfam family "Bacterial small subunit ribosomal RNA", at positions 775 to 1067 of the family's 1533-position model. The record is from RNAcentral.